AUAUUGGGUGACUCCUCAUUUCUCUAUUUGCCAAACUCACCCAAACCUGUGCUAGGAAGAGAUUGAGUGGAAAAGUUGAGGCAGAAAUGCCAUUGAGAACUGGGGCUAUUGACACUGUAAUUGCUGAAACUAAAUGUGUCCAAGCAGCAGCUCUUGUUGUGCAGGGAAUAACUCCUGUCAGCAGCAAGGCCCCGACUGAAGUGGCAGCUGCAGUUGUUCCUGUGGUGUGGGCCAGUGGAACUGCAGGAGAGUGGAAGAGGGCAGAACCUGUAGGUAUUACCCCUACUGUGGGAUCUCUCCUGGUAAGGCCAAGCCAGUAUCCUUUAAAAUCAGAAUGGCAGCUUGGAUUGGUUGCAGGAACAGCUGAAUUUGCUCCUCCUGGUUUGCUUGUAGAAGGUGAAUGCAAGAACCUGCCAAGAAAACCAAUGGCCAAGGGGCUUGAUUAGUGCAGGACCUGAGAGAACCCCCUGAAAUGACAACCUGGAGCAGUUUCCAGUAUUGGAUUUAAAAGAUGGCCUUUGCUGCAUCUCCUUGAGCAAGGAAAGCCAAGAAACGUUUGCUUUUGCAGGAGAAAAGCAGGAAGGAAGAAGAGAAGCCCCGUGACUCCUCCCUGAGCCCCAGACAGCCCCUGAACUGCCUUCCUGGGAAUGGUGGGACGGGCUGGACUCUGGAUUGCUCCCUCUGGAUGUGUGACUCUCCCCUCAGGAACUCCUGGUGCCGCCUGGGCCGAUGGAUUGGACGCCCCAGCCCCUCCGUUCCUGCCCAGCCCCUGGGGCCGUGUCCAGUGGUGGCACUGCCAGCCCUGCAGGGGAAGUGGGAAGGGCCUUUGCAGCUCUUGUGGGUCACAUUUAUAGCAGUGGGAUGGAGCCUGGAAAGUGCACAGAGCUGAGCCAAGGAACUUAAAGGGACUGAGCAAGCAAAGUCAAGAAGGAAGGAAGAAGGGAACUGAGGCAGCUG
This is a long non-coding RNA of Pseudopipra pipra, 957 nucleotides long. RefSeq lists it as uncharacterized. The transcript is spliced from 3 exons. NCBI's taxonomy places the organism in Eukaryota, Metazoa, Chordata, Aves, Passeriformes, Pipridae. The record is from RefSeq and is a predicted model, not a curated record.